AACACAUGCAAGUCGAGGGGAAACGACAUCGAAAGCUUGCUUUUGAUGGGCGUCGACCGGCGCACGGGUGAGUAACGCGUAUCCAACCUGCCCACCACUUGGGGAUAACCUUGCGAAAGUAAGACUAAUACCCAAUGACGUCUCUAGAAGACAUCUGAAAGAGAUUAAAGAUUUAUCGGUGAUGGAUGGGGAUGCGUCUGAUUAGCUUGUUGGCGGGGUAACGGCCCACCAAGGCAACGAUCAGUAGGGGUUCUGAGAGGAAGGUCCCCCACAUUGGAACUGAGACACGGUCCAAACUCCUACGGGAGGCAGCAGUGAGGAAUAUUGGUCAAUGGACGAGAGUCUGAACCAGCCAAGUAGCGUGCAGGAUGACGGCCCUAUGGGUUGUAAACUGCUUUUAUAAGGGAAUAAAGUGAGUCUCGUGAGACUUUUUGCAUGUACCUUAUGAAUAAGGACCGGCUAAUUCCGUGCCAGCAGCCGCGGUAAUACGGAAGGUCCGGGCGUUAUCCGGAUUUAUUGGGUUUAAAGGGAGCGUAGGCCGGAGAUUAAGCGUGUUGUGAAAUGUAGACGCUCAACGUCUGCACUGCAGCGCGAACUGGUUUCCUUGAGUACGCACAAAGUGGGCGGAAUUCGUGGUGUAGCGGUGAAAUGCUUAGAUAUCACGAAGAACUCCGAUUGCGAAGGCAGCUCACUGGAGCGCAACUGACGCUGAAGCUCGAAAGUGCGGGUAUCGAACAGGAUUAGAUACCCUGGUAGUCCGCACGGUAAACGAUGGAUGCCCGCUGUUGGUCUGAAUAGGUCAGCGGCC
Molecule: ribosomal RNA, 808 nt
Filed under: uncultured bacterium
Lineage: Bacteria
Description: bacterial SSU rRNA
Rfam family: Bacterial small subunit ribosomal RNA
Source: RNAcentral